GACGAACGCUGGCGGCGUGCUUAACACAUGCAAGUCGAGCGGAAAGGCCCUUUCGGGGUACUCGAGCGGCGAACGGGUGAGUAACACGUGAGUAAUCUGCCCUUCACUUGGGGAUAACUGCCGGAAACGGUGGCUAAUACCCGAUAUGACCAAUCACUGCAUGGUGUGUUGUUGGAAAGUUUUUUCGGUGGAGGAUGUGCUGGCGGCCUAUGAGCUUGUUGGUGGGGUAAUGGCCUACCAAGGCUUCGACGGGUAGCCGGCCUGAGAGGGUGACCGGCCACACUGGGACUGAGACACGGCCCAGACUCCUACGGGGGGCAGCAGUGGGGAAUAUUGGACAAUGGGCGAAAGCCUGAUCCAGCAACGCCGCGUGAGGGAUGACGGCCUUCGGGUUGUAAACCUCUUUCAGCGGGGACGAAGCGCCGGUAAUGGUGGUGACGGUACCCGCAGAAGAAGCACCGGCCAACUACGUGCCAGCCGCAGUAACAC
RNAcentral lists this ribosomal RNA (489 nucleotides) under uncultured bacterium. Its description in RNAcentral is "partial 16S ribosomal RNA". It matches the Rfam family "Bacterial small subunit ribosomal RNA", at positions 28 to 526 of the family's 1533-position model. The record is from RNAcentral.